RNAcentral lists this ribosomal RNA (490 nucleotides) under uncultured Gammaproteobacteria bacterium. RNAcentral describes it as "bacterial SSU rRNA". It matches the Rfam family "Bacterial small subunit ribosomal RNA", at positions 30 to 509 of the family's 1533-position model. Lineage: Bacteria; Pseudomonadati; Pseudomonadota; Gammaproteobacteria. The record is from RNAcentral.
AUUGAACGCUGGCGGCAUGCCUAACACAUGCCAGUCGAACGGCAGCACGGUCCAGUUUACUGAUGGGUGGCGAGUGGCGGACGGGUGAGUAACGCGUAGGAAUAUGCCUUGAGGAGGGGGAUAACUUGGGGAAACUCAAGCUAAUACCGCAUAAGCUCUUAGGAGUAAAGCUGGGGACCUUCGGGCCUGGCGCUUUGAGAUUAGCCUGCGUACGAUUAGCUAGUUGGUGGGGUAAGGGCCUACCAAGGCGACGAUCGUUAGCUGGUCUGGGAGGAUGGCCAGCCACACUGGAACUGAGACACGGUCCAGACUCCUACGGGAGGCAACAGUGGGGAAUAUUGGACAAUGGGGGCAACCCUGAUCCAGCAAUGCCGCGUGUGUGAAGAAGGCCUGAGGGUUGUAAAGCACUUUCAGUGGGGAGGAGGAUUGAUUGGUUAAGAGCUGAUUAAUUGGACGUUACCCACAGAAGAAGCACCGGUAACUCCGUGCC